RNAcentral lists this long non-coding RNA (577 nucleotides) under Ovis aries (sheep). RNAcentral describes it as "lncRNA (ENSOARG00000026983.1)". The record is from RNAcentral. Lineage: Eukaryota; Metazoa; Chordata; Mammalia; Artiodactyla; Bovidae.
AUGAAAGCAGUUAAAUAUGAACGCAAGAGGAGAGCCAGCGACAGCGCGGCGUGCGCGUCGCGGAGACGGCCUCCUGGAGACGAGCGCGCGGAAAGCCCUCUCCAAGGCACAUGGAACGGGCUGUUUUCCUCAGAGGCUGCAGGAGCGUGCAUGCUCUCGCGUCUUGUGCCGUACCUGAAUCGAGAGUAUCCCUGGGCAGCAGGCUUCCUAAUCCCCACUUCUCUUCGCUUAGUCCUGGGAAGCAAGAGAGCAGAGAUGAGAUCUGAACUCCACAUAGCAGCCUUGCGUUCCGCUUUCUCCUGUUCUCCGGAGACAUCCUCUACCAGGUUAUUCCAGCAACCACUGCUUCAAACACACCAAGCAGGGUCUCAGGUAUGCAAUUAAGUGUGCACCAAAUGUAGACUCCUGACUAACGGAGGAACUGCCUAAAGGGACUUCUAAGAAAUCUUCCUAUUUCUUUUGGAGUUAUGGACGCAUAGCAGAGUCCAUGCAUGUGGUCAGCACACAUCUUGUUGAGUCAAAAAAAUAAAUAUGAGACUCAAUUUAGAAUCUAGUUUUAAAGUCACAGUUUGCACUU